UACGUAGGGUGCGAGCGUUGUCCGGAAUUAUUGGGCGUAAAGAGCUUGUAGGCGGUUUGUCGCGUCUGCUGUGAAAAUCCGGGGUUCAACCCCGGACUUGCAGUGGGUACGGGCAGACUAGAGUGUGGUAGGGGAGACUGGAAUUCCUGGUGUAGCGGUGGAAUGCGCAGAUAUCAGGAGGAACACCGAUGGCGAAGGCAGGUCUCUGGGCCACUACUGACGCUGAGAAGCGAAAGCAUGGGGAGCGAACAGG
Molecule: ribosomal RNA, 253 nt
Filed under: uncultured bacterium
Lineage: Bacteria
Description: partial 16S ribosomal RNA
Rfam family: Bacterial small subunit ribosomal RNA
Source: RNAcentral